Non-coding RNA from Phoenix dactylifera (date palm), 2467 nucleotides. The record is from RefSeq and is a predicted model, not a curated record. NCBI's taxonomy places the organism in Eukaryota, Viridiplantae, Streptophyta, Magnoliopsida, Arecales, Arecaceae.
GGAAAAGAGAGGGGGGAGGGAGGGAGGGGGAGAGGAAGGUGGAGGCUGGAGAGCCGCGGAAGAGGGGCUCUGCCUUCGGUCUUCAGUUUCGUUCGAAACAGAGAUCUUGUCUUGAGAACAUUGUGAUGAACUCUAGCUCUAUGUUCCACCAUUGGGCAUCCAUGUUCUAAUGGUGCUGACAGAUUCAAAUAUUUCACAUGGACUGGUAGAUCUUGGCCCCAUGUAAUCUAGAUCAUAUUAGAUAUCUUGAUACUGAUUAUUGGUUUAAACCUUGAUCUUGUUAUGAAUCCUAGCCUUAGUUUAGGCUUAUUUGGGCUCCUUUUAUUGUCCAUUUAGGUGUUAAUUUACUUCCUUAAAUUUCUGCAUUUUAGAUUUGAGUUCUAUGAUGUCAUACAUCACAACAUUAAUGCCAUUUAAUGUCCUUUAGAGUUUAGAAUAUAAUAUUUGCAGUCUUUGAGUUUAUUCUGAAUUUAACCCAUAAGAAGGUAUCCAAUAUGGCUGAAAGAGGUGGAAAUCAGAAAAGGCCCAAGCACAACCACAUGCACGGGGUGCUUGGCAAUAGGCUGCGCAGAGUAUGCUUAAUGAGCAUGUCUUAAUGCUGGCGAUCAUCAUUGAGCGGUUAAGUCUGUUCUUUAACACAUUGGCCUUGGCAUCAUUAAGGAACACUUACACCUAGGAACUGGGACCUUGUUGUGCUUGGAGAGGUUGCAGCUCCAUAUCAAAUUAUCUUACAGAAACUAGUGGCGUACAGGAUGAUGACCCACUGGUUUCAAGUUCCAACUUUACUGACGAGCUUGAUGUAUAUGUAGAACAACCUAGGACGCUAGUUUCAAGUUCCACCUAGGACACAUCAACAUGAGUCUCCACUGUGAGGGGUUUAACUCAUAGAGUCUCACGGAGCCACUAUACUGGAGCAUCUCAAGUAGGUAUUGAUGAUAGGUUACUCAUGACACUAUAGUGGUCUUCAUAUUAUGGGAUUUACAUUGAGAUUGAUGACUUUAAGAGGUCAUCUCAAAAAAUGUGAGUUCCAUUAUUAAUAAGAUAGCAUCAAUCAUUUAUUUGAGUGAAAAAGCGUGAAGGAAAAUGAGCAAAGUUUGUCACCACUUAAAGUUGUAGCAUUAUUGUGGUGGAAAGAGCUUCGAACUAGCUGAGCUUGAAGAGGAAAGGAGACAAUCUUCACCUGAGAAAAAAUGAGUUAUUAGUUACAGAUAUAGUACUUCAAAAUCUGACUACUCUCUCUCCGAAUCUCCUGGGGGCUUGGAUUUAUGUAGGGCCACAAGUUAAUCUUUAAGAAUUUGACUUACGGGCUUCAACAAGAACGCAUGAUUACAUCUCCCUGUUCAGGAUUACGCAUUCCUGUUCCAUUUUCACUGCAAAUGGUGUGCAUCAGCAAUCCCUAGAACUAAGAAGCUAGUCUAGUGAACAUUUAGGAUGGACACCAAUAACAGAUGCCCUACAAUUUGUAUUGGAUGAAGCCUAGUCCUGAGACAACUCAAGCUGCCAAACCCACCUACUGACUCCUGCAAACACCACUAGUAGACCCAGAGCAGGAGAUGCAUGGACUGUUGAUCAUCAAAAUUAAGUGUAGUUGGUAUAAAUAUCUAUUCCAGGGGCUAACUGUUGACUAGAUUCCAAAAUUACUUUAAUUAAGGUAUGUAAAUAUUAAUGUUUGUAUAAUUAGUUUGGCUACUAAUUGUGUUAUGAGGGUUCACUUUUUUUUCAUGUUAACUAUUAUACUGGUGCUCAAUUACUAAAGCUUGUAAAAUGUUAUCCUAAUAGUGACCAAUGUUAUUGUUUUCAGUUUUAUAUAUUUCUUGAGGGGGAUGUUGGUAGAAAGUCAUCAUGCCAAAACCAAAUAGAUGGGAUGUGACCAUUUGGUAAAAAUGUGGUGAUGGAGGUAGUGUGAUAUCUUGAGUUUAGCAUAUUUUCUUGAGAUAUAUUUUCUACUCCUAUAUUGAACCAUCCUAUUGCCUGCCUGAAACUUCAACAUUGGUUGCCCACUUCCCAGCUUAUCAAAGUUGUAGGUAUAUCUCAUGUCUUAAGAACUUCAAGAAGAAAAUACAAUAUCAUGUUAUGUGAGGACCCAUGCAGGUGCAUCUUUAACCUCACAUCAAUUGUGUUAGGGAGAUCUUAAAUACUUAUACAAGGCCAAGGAACCCAAAUAACAUCUUUAUCUAGCUCUUUUAGGUGAGAUCUUGAGUUAUUAUAAAUGGCAUUAGAGCAGACCCAAUCCAUGGCUUGAGUGGAUUAAGAAAUAUUGUAGCAGGGGCCCUUUGGGCUGGCCUCGAGCCAAUUUUGGCAUAUGUGAUUGGAUUUAAUUGGAUUUCAACCCUUAGUCUAACAAGGAUCCCAAGGUUCAAACGAGGGAAGUAUGUAAGGACCUGUGCAAGCUUGUGUUUGGUCCUACAUAGUUUGUACGUUGGGGAGGUCUCACAUACUUAUGUAGGGCCAAGUAAUCCAAAUAGUA